UGGAAUCGCUAGUAAUCGCAGGUCAGCAUACUGCGGUGAAUACGUUCCCGGGUCUUGUACACACCGCCCGUCACACCAUGGGAGUCGGAAAUGCCCGAAGCCGGUGACCCAACCCGAAAGGGAGGGAGCCGUCGAAGGCAGGUCGGAUGACUGGGGUGAAGUCGUAACAAGGUAUC
RNAcentral lists this ribosomal RNA (176 nucleotides) under uncultured bacterium. Its description in RNAcentral is "partial 16S ribosomal RNA". It matches the Rfam family "Bacterial small subunit ribosomal RNA", at positions 1327 to 1500 of the family's 1533-position model. The record is from RNAcentral.